This 208-nucleotide long non-coding RNA is filed under the name Ricinus communis (castor bean). RNAcentral's name for it is "long non-coding RNA (RCOM_LNC000402)". Lineage: Eukaryota; Viridiplantae; Streptophyta; Magnoliopsida; Malpighiales; Euphorbiaceae. The record is from RNAcentral.
GGGUAACCUUCUCAUACUAGGAGUAAAAGAAUUGACAUACUAGGAGUAAAAGAAUUGACUCUUAACUGACCUAUUACAUAAGAAAGAUCUCUAUCUUGAGAUAUCCUCCCACAUUAGAUUCUCAGAAAUAAAAGAAGUUUCAAAAUCCUCUUAUGUAACUCACACAUCUGAUUCUGGUCCAUCUAUUUCUUCUUCUUCUUACCCUUGG